Long non-coding RNA from Zonotrichia leucophrys gambelii, 445 nucleotides. RefSeq lists it as uncharacterized. The record is from RefSeq and is a predicted model, not a curated record. NCBI's taxonomy places the organism in Eukaryota, Metazoa, Chordata, Aves, Passeriformes, Passerellidae. The transcript has 3 exons.
UUCCUAAUGAAUCUUUUAAAAAUAUUUGCAAAAUACGUGUAAAAUUGCAUUGCUGAGGUUUCAUGAAGCUGCAAAACAAGGCGGCUCAUUUUAAACAAUGCUUGGGAGAGACGGUGCAGCAGCUGCCAGGCAAACACAAGACAAAAUGCCAUGUUGUCUGAAGCUUCAACUGCACCACAGGCACUCUGCAAAAAUAUCUUCUUACAGCUACAAGGGCUUCACCCCCACUAUAUUUGACUGUGUUGGGAGCUCGAGCACAGGCACUUCACUGGUGUAAAUCCUCAUGGAAGACAUUGCAGCUAUGACAACUUACACCAGCACCUGAGCUUCCCUGGAAAUAACACAACAAAGCACCAAUGUUAGUGACCAGUAGAGAAUUAUUAAAGGAACACAGAUAAUUGGAAGAAAAUAAAUGACCUGGGUAGAAGAGCUACUAUAAAAUGAA